This 277-nucleotide long non-coding RNA is filed under the name Cucumis sativus (cucumber). RNAcentral describes it as "long non-coding RNA (CSAT_LNC002833)". The record is from RNAcentral. Lineage: Eukaryota; Viridiplantae; Streptophyta; Magnoliopsida; Cucurbitales; Cucurbitaceae.
GAAUGUCAAACAUAUAAUUACAGAUCUUGAUCAACCCCCUCAACAAGUUGACAAUCUUGCAAUCACUUAUUUCAUACAAAAAAAAAAAAAAAAAAAAAAUCUCUAUAGGUAAUCACAACAAAACUUAGGUAACCUGAGUUGAUUGGUUUGGUGGCUUUCUCAUGCAAGAUAAAAUAGUUGUGUUAUCCAAUUCCGGAUACCUUCCCGCCUAGAUGAAUUCAACAAUCACCCUAUCCAUAAACUCGGCACGGGUGUCUUUUCCAAAGGGGCAACCUUC